Long non-coding RNA from Chinchilla lanigera (long-tailed chinchilla), 513 nucleotides. RefSeq lists it as uncharacterized. The transcript has 3 exons. NCBI's taxonomy places the organism in Eukaryota, Metazoa, Chordata, Mammalia, Rodentia, Chinchillidae. The record is from RefSeq and is a predicted model, not a curated record.
GAGGGGCGGCUCGGCACCCCCGGCCUCCCGCAGGGCUCCACCCCAAGGGACACCCGCGCGAGGACUCGUGACCAGCAUCGAGGCCACACUACGGACCUCGAGUCGGAAUCUGUGCAGUCAACAACCUGCCCAACUGGACCGGAAAACUGAGGCCCAACCCCACCUGUGCCCCGAAGCCGGAUGCCACCCUGAAGGGCCAGGCUCCAGGCGCGCUGCGCCUCCGUGGACGGCGCGGAGAAGCAGAGAGUGACGCACUUAGACCGUGAUAAAACCCAAGAAUCGGGAAGGUGGGAGCCCCUGGCACCCCCAGCCCGGAGAGGUCAACUGUUUACAGCUCAGAACGUGAUCCAAACCGCGAACCCCAAGCCCUUGUACUCUGAGAACAAGGGGCGGUACCCGGACUGCAAGGGGCGGGGCCGGCACCCGGCCCGCGGAGGCGCUGGCAGCUACCCGGCUCCGAAAAUCAACCCAUAUGGAUAAAACCUGUGUGGGGCGGACUGCUUUUGUUCUUUA